RNAcentral lists this ribosomal RNA (399 nucleotides) under Triticum aestivum (bread wheat). Its description in RNAcentral is "partial small subunit ribosomal RNA". The record is from RNAcentral. Lineage: Eukaryota; Viridiplantae; Streptophyta; Magnoliopsida; Poales; Poaceae.
AAGAGGACCCCGCUGCGCCGCCGCUACUCCGUCGUCGCCACCACUCCCGGCGGCCUCUUCGUCCUGGCCGACCGGAACAAUUCUCGAGCCGCCUGCGUCUUCAAUCCUCUCACCGGCGUCCUGAUCCGGUGCCUGGCUGUCGACACCCAUAAGUUCCCGUCUGUUGAGGCCAACUGCAUCUACUGUGUUGAGCGUCUGGAUUCAUUUGCCUACAUCUGCAUGUGCAAUCUCAAGGACGAGAAAUAUGAGAUGAUCUCAGCUGGGGCCGUAGAUUUCAUGAAGACAGACAAGCUGUUCGUCAUCGCCGCACACCGCCCUUUCACCAUCAUCCACCUUCUCUCCAGCUACACCAUCAAUGUCCGGGAUUCUCAACUGCCGCUACAACAGGACGCCAACUAA